CGGUGCUCAGAGACUCAGGAAAAUUCUAGAACUGAAGAUGGGUUAAGCCACAGACACUGCUUCUCAUCUCCAUACCUCCGAGCUCCUGACAGGCUGCAGCUGGUAACGCCUCCCCCUCCUGGCCCAGCUUGCCUAGCUGCCCUCACCUUGACAACCACAGAAAAGCCAAAGACUGCACACAUGUGCACCACACUAUUUAUCCUCCUGCCUGUGUUUGCUACAGUAGCCCCACAAAAAACAUAACAAGGCCACAACAGAGAUGCGACACGUGCCAUGUACCAACUCCCCACACUUCUCAAGGAGGAAAGGCACCUGGUGAUGUUCUGCAGUUCAUCCCCUGCAGCACCUGAGCACCCUUCUCUCUCAGCAUACAUCCCUGCCUGCUGGAGGAAAGCCAGGGACCUGCACGAAACAUCAGCACGCGGCGUCCCAGCCCAUGCAGUUGUCAUGGACAACAGGAGUUCAGAGGAAAGUGUGGGGCAUGUAGACCAUAUGGGCUGCAGGAAUUCAGGUAGCUAUCAGAGUCCAGGAUGAUUUAGGGAAAGGAGUUUACAAAACAGGCUUAUUUUGGAAAGGGCCUGGCACACCGUAGGUUUUCAGUAAAUAUUGACCAAAUCGAUGCAUAAUUCUGCAAUUCCUAAGGAGGAGGUUGAUGGGAACUAAGGAAUCAAGGAAAGAGGAGAGAGAGGGAAUGUUUGGAUCACUCCUGGAUGGGGUGUUUUCAACAUAAAACCCAUGCAGCUGAAAGGUCGUUAUCUUCAGACACAGUAUCCAGGGAAAAACCAAAUAUGACAUUGAAAAUAAGCUCAUGGCAAAUACAACAUCACUGAAGGAAGCAAGAACCUUUGUAAUGCUCCAGGGAGGAGUCCAGCCGCCGUCAUCCCCAGUCAGCCUGCAGGGCGCUGGCCAGCCUUACCAGAGCUGGGAAAGGGCCUGGCUGGACUCCCAGCUACACACAUGUAAGAUGAUGCUGACCAAACUGAGGGCCUCACACGGCAUUUGUUCUCUGCACAGAGCACCAUCAUCCCAGCCCAAGCCUCUUCCUGUUCUAUUUAUUUCUGAAAAUAGAUUGCUGUACCUGCAACUUUUAUUCCUUUGGGGAACCAUCCCUUCUGCUCUCCUUGUGGUCCUGUGGGACUACCAGUCACUGUUUCCCUCCUCUAGCCCCAGACUCUCACC
RNAcentral lists this long non-coding RNA (1179 nucleotides) under Homo sapiens (human). RNAcentral's name for it is "HSALNT0329602". Lineage: Eukaryota; Metazoa; Chordata; Mammalia; Primates; Hominidae. The record is from RNAcentral.